Molecule: long non-coding RNA, 390 nt
Organism: Pomacea canaliculata
Lineage: Eukaryota; Metazoa; Mollusca; Gastropoda; Architaenioglossa; Ampullariidae
Exons: 3
Source: RefSeq, a predicted model, not a curated record
GUUUCAUUGAGAGUGCAACAUUUGUUUUGCAUGCUCACCUCUAGACUUGCACUCAUCCAUGUGUAGAAAAAUGGAUAUUCAUAUGAAGCGGGAAAAGAGUAGAGUAUUUCGAGUUUUGCAGGCUGGAAGGUAGGGGAAGACAAGUUCAAUGGUGUUUGUGCCGACCCAGUUGUGUAAUAAGGUUUUCUUAAUAGACUAACCUUCUUGGAGCCACCUAACGUCAAUCAGAUAACUAUACAUCACUGCUUGUCAACUUCGUGGUAGAUAAUUCCCGCAAUUUAACCACAUCAUAAACUUAAGAUUAAGGGGAAGCAACUUUUAAGCCAUUGACAUUUACUUUUUCCCCCAAGCUAUUUCGAUGUGGAAGGUGAUGAAGGUGAUGGCUUUCCC